Molecule: long non-coding RNA, 330 nt
Organism: Peromyscus eremicus (cactus mouse)
Lineage: Eukaryota; Metazoa; Chordata; Mammalia; Rodentia; Cricetidae
Exons: 2
Source: RefSeq, a predicted model, not a curated record
CUUCCACCCCGCCCCCUCCCACGGGCACAGCCGUCUGCGAGAACAAGAGCCACUGCAGCGCCUCUGUGCUCAAAUGACAGCGCCUUUGUCUCUGCUGAAUGGGGGUCUAACGGGCAUGUGUAGGAUUUUCGUCCCAGUCUUUGGCGAGCUCGAUAGCCAGAGGACCUCAGCUCAUCCUUGGAAUCCAGACUGAAUGGAUCGCACAGCCGGCAGCCCCAAGUGAGAAAAGCAGUUUCAGGCCAGCUUGUCCAGUCCUUCUGUCUGUCUUGGUUCCUUCCAUUUCCCAGAUGCCCUCUGCAGUGUCUGGUAAUAAACUAGGUGUUGAAGCUU